Molecule: ribosomal RNA, 465 nt
Filed under: uncultured bacterium
Lineage: Bacteria
Description: partial 16S ribosomal RNA
Rfam family: Bacterial small subunit ribosomal RNA
Source: RNAcentral
CCUACGGGAGGCAGCAGUAGGGAAUCUUCCACAAUGGGCGAAAGCCUGAUGGAGCAACGCCGCGUGAGUGAUGAAGGUCUUCGGAUCGUAAAACUCUGUUGUUAGAGAAGAAAGUGCGUGAGAGUAUCUGUUCACGUUUCGACGGUAUCUAACCAGAACGGCUAGGCUAACUACGUGCCCGGCGCCACGGUAAUACGUAGGUGGCAAGCGUUAUCCGGAUUUAUUGGGCGUGAAGGGAACGCAGGCGGUCUGUUAAGUCUGAUGUGAAAGCCUUCGGCUUAACCGGAGUAGUGCAUUGGAAACUGGGAGACUUGAGUGCAGAAGAGGUGAGUGGAAUUCCAGGUGUAGCGGUGAAAUGCGUAGAUAUAUGGAAGAACACCAGUGGCGAAAGCGGCUCUCUGGUCUGUAACUGACGCUGAGGUUCGAAAGCGUGGGUAGCAAACAGGAUUAGAUACCCCAGUAGUC